GCUUGUGGCCAUACCACCCUGAACAUGUCUGAUCUUGGUAACUAAGCAGGGUCGGGCCUGGUGAGUACUUGGAUGGGAGACAGCCUUGGAAUACCAGGUGCUGUAAGCU
Molecule: ribosomal RNA, 109 nt
Filed under: Salmo salar (Atlantic salmon)
Lineage: Eukaryota; Metazoa; Chordata; Actinopteri; Salmoniformes; Salmonidae
Also listed under: 1 other name
Source: RNAcentral